GUCCACGCCCUAAACGAUGGAUACUACGUAGGGGACCCUCCAAGGGGUUCCCUUCCGGAGUGAAAACGUUAAGUAUCCCGCCUGGGGAGUAUGGUCGCAAGGCUGAAACUCAAAGGAAUUGACGGGGGGCUCACACAAGCGGUGGAGCAUGUUGCUCAAUUCGAUGCAACGCGAAGAACCUUACCCGGGCUCGAAGCGUACGGAUUAACCCUAUGAAAGUAGGGCGACACCUUUACCGGUGGAACGUACGUAGGUGUUGCAUGGCUGUCGU
Molecule: ribosomal RNA, 271 nt
Filed under: uncultured bacterium
Lineage: Bacteria
Description: partial 16S ribosomal RNA
Rfam family: Bacterial small subunit ribosomal RNA
Source: RNAcentral